Molecule: ribosomal RNA, 468 nt
Filed under: uncultured bacterium
Lineage: Bacteria
Description: partial 16S ribosomal RNA
Rfam family: Bacterial small subunit ribosomal RNA
Source: RNAcentral
GACGAACGCUGGCGGCGUGCUUAACACAUGCAAGUCGAACGGAAAGGCCCUGCUUUUGUGGGGUGCUCGAGUGGCGAACGGGUGAGUAACACGUGAGUAACCUGCCCUUGACUUUGGGAUAACUUCAGGAAACUGGGGCUAAUACCGGAUAGGAGCUCCUGCUGCAUGGUGGGGGUUGGAAAGUUUCGGCGGUUGGGGAUGGACUCGCGGCUUAUCAGCUUGUUGGUGGGGUAGUGGCUUACCAAGGCUUUGACGGGUAGCCGGCCUGAGAGGGUGACCGGCGACAGUGGGACUGAGGGAGGGCCGAGAAGGCACGGGGGGGCAGUGGGGGAAAACAUGAAAGAGGGGGGGGGAGCCGGUGAGGAAAGCCCCGGGUGCGGAAGAAGGGCUUGGGGGUGAAAAACCAAUGUGGCAGGAGACGAGGGGGGAGUGACGGUAAUGAAUAAAAAAGCCCCGGCUAACUACGUG